This 292-nucleotide ribosomal RNA is filed under the name uncultured bacterium. Its description in RNAcentral is "partial 16S ribosomal RNA". It matches the Rfam family "Bacterial small subunit ribosomal RNA", at positions 505 to 796 of the family's 1533-position model. The record is from RNAcentral.
GUGCCAGCAGCCGCGGUAAUACGAGGGGGGCAAGCGUUGUUCGGAAUUAUUGGGCGUAAAGGGCGCGUAGGCGGUUUGACAAGUCUGAUGUGAAAUCUAUGGGCUCAACCCAUAGCCUGCAUUAGAAACUGUCGGGCUUGAGUAUGGGAGAGGUGAGUGGAAUUUCCGGUGUAGCGGUGAAAUGCGUAGAUAUCGGAAGGAACACCUGUGGCGAAAGCGGCUCACUGGACCAUAACUGACGCUGAGGCGCGAAAGCUAGGGGAGCAAACAGGAUUAGAUACCCUGGUAGUCC